UGGCUAUGUCAUGUUGAAACACUGGUUCUGAUACAAUCACCAAAGUUAAGCAACAUUGAGCCUGGUUAGUACCUAGAUGGGUGACUACUUCGGAAUGCAGGGUGUUGUAAG
Acanthosepion pharaonis is the source of this 111-nucleotide non-coding RNA. Lineage: Eukaryota; Metazoa; Mollusca; Cephalopoda; Sepiida; Sepiidae. The record is from the annotation of a GenBank genome assembly.